CACGAAACUGUAUGAGCUAACUAAGAUUGAAACUAUGUUGCAAAAUAGCUAAGGAGUUAUAGUUAGGGGUGAAAGGCUUUUCAAACGCAGUGAUAUCUUGAUUUUCCCAAAAAGUAUUGAGCACAUUUAAAAAUUUAGAGCGAUAAGGUUUUAAAUAAUCAUUAAAUAGGAUUAGUUACAUAUGUUGAUAUAAAAGUCUACGAAAAUGGAAGUUAAUAUUAAUAACUUAGAAUUAUGAUAUGUAGGGAAAUAUUUGUUAAUUUAAUUUAAAAUAAAUAAUGUUAAUAUUAGUAAUUUGAAGGUACCAGUAGUGAACUCGGCAUUAAGCUUUCAACUGUUUAUCAAAAACAUAGCUGGGUGCAUUACACGCAGUAGUUUCUGCUCAAUGAUAUAUUUAAAUAGCCGCAGUACCUUGACUGUGCAAAGGUAGCGUAAUCAGUUGUCUUUUAAUUGGAGACGGGUAUGAAGGAAUAUAUGGGGGCUUUCUUUACCAUUGGUAUAAGUAGAAUUUACUUAUCGAGUGAAAAUACUCGUAGAUAAAUAAUAGACGAGAAGACCCUUGAAAUUUUCAGUAGUUUUUUGUUGGGGCAACAUAGUAGCAGGUAACCUACUAGAAUUAACUAGAAAUUAUGUGGUGUGAUUAAAUUACUCUAGGGAUAACAGCGUAAUCUUAAAUUGUUUGUGACCUCGAUGUUGGAUUAGGGAAUUGUCGCUUAGAA
RNAcentral lists this ribosomal RNA (719 nucleotides) under Kimberleytrachia crawfordi. RNAcentral describes it as "partial 16S ribosomal RNA". The stretch from base 319 to 484 matches the Rfam family "Archaeal large subunit ribosomal RNA", at positions 1876 to 2091 of the family's 2987-position model. The record is from RNAcentral. Lineage: Eukaryota; Metazoa; Mollusca; Gastropoda; Stylommatophora; Camaenidae.